Molecule: long non-coding RNA, 309 nt
Filed under: Homo sapiens (human)
Lineage: Eukaryota; Metazoa; Chordata; Mammalia; Primates; Hominidae
Description: non-protein coding lnc-ST3GAL6-1:1
Source: RNAcentral
AAGUGUAAAACAAGAUCCGUGCCGCAAAGGCAAUUUAAACCUAACAUCCCAACCUUCAUGCAGCCAUUCUACAAGGAGUUGUUGAGCACCUGCUGUCUAUCUACAGAAAUCUUGAAAUGUGGAACAGAGAUGGAAAUAUAGCAUGCAAGUCAGAAUGAAUUGCCAAACAAUGACAGAAGGCUGCUCUGAAAUGAUCAAAAUUUUCUCCUGGGACCUCACACCAAAGGAAUAUAAUAGGCAUUCAUUUCUAAGACAAUGCGGGUAAAGUGGAAUUCUAGUUUAUAUUACCUUUCUUAUUCUCUGCAUGCU